This 379-nucleotide ribosomal RNA is filed under the name uncultured eukaryote. RNAcentral's name for it is "partial 18S ribosomal RNA". It matches the Rfam family "Eukaryotic small subunit ribosomal RNA", at positions 592 to 976 of the family's 1831-position model. The record is from RNAcentral.
CAAUAGCGUAUAUUUAAGUUGUUGCAGUUAAAAAGCUCGUAGUUGGAUUUCGGAUGGGAUUUGCCGGUCCGUCGUUACGAUGUACACUGGCCAGUCCUAUCUUGUUGUCGGGGACUAGCUCCUUGGAUUCACUUCCUGGGACUAGGAGCUGACGAGGUUACUUUGAGUAAAUUAGAGUGUUCAAAGCAAGCCUACGCUCUGAAUACAUUAGCAUGGAAUAACACGAUAGGACUCUGGCUUAUCUUGUUGGUCUGUGAGACCAGAGUAAUGAUUAAGAGGGACAGUCGGGGACAUUCGUAUUUCAUUGUCAGAGGUGAAAUUCUUGGAUUUAUGAAAGACGAACUUCUGCGAAAGCAUUUGUCAAGGAUGUUUUCAUUAA